CUCCCAAUGCCAAGAGGCUAUUUCUGCAAGGGAAGUGUGUGUGUGUGUGUGUGUGGGGGGGGGGUGUCCCCUCCCUGUACUGUCUUUAUCCCUUCAACAGAAGCCAAGUGGCUACAACAAAUGGAACUGGCAGCACCAGAAAUCUCAAUCCUGUGGGAAGCCCUUUGUGAUAGUCGACGGUAAUCAAACCCAGCCGCCAUACAGUACUGCUGCAGAACAUCAAGCAACUAGGGAGAAGGUCAUGAUCCCAGGGCCUUGGGAUGGAGCCCCGCAUUGGACUCCCUGCUCAGAGUUAUGGCUUCUAAAGGAAUUGAGGAAAAGUUAUUUUAUCUGCUCCUUACCUCCGACACUGGAAUAAAGAACUAUGUAAUCAAAAGCAAGAUUGUGAAGAUACCACACAGAAACGCUUGCCUUAUAACAACAAUUUCUCCUUUUCCGGCCACUGCUGCAGCUACAAGGUUCAGAAGACUGAAGUAUCAAAGUCACAUCUUUGGUUUCUAAUACUGUUUGAUAGACAGCUUUCUGAAAAUCUGUCAGAGAACAAUACACCAUCUGCCAAGAUGAAACACUAAGUAAUUAUUGGUACUUUUUUAUAGCAGUAAUAAUCACAAUGCACAUCAGAUUUUAUAGACUAUAAAAGUGAAAACUGCUUAUAAACUAUUUUUCUUUUAGAUGCAUUAAUAUGACAAUUUCUCCCACCCUAAUCUAAACCCUAUAAAUGAUAACUUUAUUUUCAAAUCUCAUAGAGUUUGUUUUUCAAUUGAAAGGAAUUAAAAUAUGAAAAAACAA
Canis lupus familiaris (dog) is the source of this 789-nucleotide long non-coding RNA. RefSeq lists it as uncharacterized. The record is from RefSeq and is a predicted model, not a curated record. NCBI's taxonomy places the organism in Eukaryota, Metazoa, Chordata, Mammalia, Carnivora, Canidae. The transcript has 4 exons.